This 444-nucleotide ribosomal RNA is filed under the name uncultured bacterium. Its description in RNAcentral is "partial 16S ribosomal RNA". It matches the Rfam family "Bacterial small subunit ribosomal RNA", at positions 354 to 796 of the family's 1533-position model. The record is from RNAcentral.
GUAGGGAAUAUUGGGCAAUGGUCGGAAGACUGACCCAGCCAUGCCGCGUGCAGGAAGACGGCCCUCUGGGUUGUAAACUGCUUUUAUCUGGGAAGAAAAAGGCCAUGCGUGGCAAAUUGCCGGUACCAGAUGAAUAAGCACCGGCUAACUCCGUGCCAGCAGCCGCGGUAAUACGGAGGGUGCGAGCGUUGUCCGGAUUUAUUGGGUUUAAAGGGUGCGCAGGCGGCUGAUUAAGUCAGCGGUGAAGGACUUCGGCUUAACCGGAGCAGUGCCGUUGAUACUGGUUGGCUUGAGUGUCGGAGGGGUACAUGGAAUUGAUGGUGUAGCGGUGAAAUGCAUAGAUACCAUCAGGAACACAGAUAGCGAAGGCAUUGUACUGGCCGACAACUGACGCUGAUGCACGAAAGUGUGGGGAUCGAACAGGAUUAGAUACCCGAGUAGUCC